GACGAACGCUGACGGUGUGCUUUAGACAUGCAAGUCGAACGAGAAAGCCCUUCGGGUGAGUACAGUGGCGAACGGGUGAGUAACACGUGGGCAAUCUGCCCCUCGCAGGGGGAUAACCGGGGGAAACCCCGGCUAAUACCCCGUACGCUUGUGGAGUCGCAUGGCUCCGCACGGAAAGGUAGCUUCGGCCAUCCGGCGAGGGAUGAGCCCGCGGUACAUUAGCUAGUUGGUGGGGUAACGGCCCACCAAGGCGACGAUGUAUAGCUGGUCUGAGAGGAUGAUCAGCCACACUGGGACUGAGACACGGCCCAGACUCCUACGGGAGGCAGCAGUCGGGAAUCUUGCGCAAUGGGCGAAAAGCCUGACGCAGCAACACCGUGUGA
This 383-nucleotide ribosomal RNA is filed under the name uncultured bacterium. RNAcentral describes it as "bacterial SSU rRNA". It matches the Rfam family "Bacterial small subunit ribosomal RNA", at positions 28 to 404 of the family's 1533-position model. The record is from RNAcentral.